GAUGAACGCUGGCGGCGUGCUUAACACAUGCAAGUCGAGCGAGAAACUACAUGCAGACACUUCGGUAGAAGCGAGUAGCGGAAAGCGGCGGACGGGUGAGUAACGCGUAGGCAACCUGCCCUUCACAGAGGUAUAGCCUCGGGAAACCGGGAUUAAAACCACAUAAAAUCAUAGGUUCGCAUGAACCAAAGGUCAAAGAUUUAUCGGUGAAGGAUGGGCCUGCGUCUGAUUAGCUGGUUGGUAGGGUAAAAGCCUACCAAGGCGACGAUCAGUAGCCGACCUGAGAGGGUGAUCGGCCACAUUGGAACUGAGACACGGUCCAAACUCCUACGGGAGGCAGCAGUGGGGGAUAUUGCACAAUGGGGGAAACCCUGAUGCAGCAACGCCGCGUGAGGUAUGAAGGCCUUUGGGUUGUAAGCCUCUGUCCCUAGGGGAAGAAAAAAAUGACGGUACCCGAGGAGGAAGCCCCGCUAACUAC
RNAcentral lists this ribosomal RNA (478 nucleotides) under [Eubacterium] saphenum. Its description in RNAcentral is "bacterial SSU rRNA". It matches the Rfam family "Bacterial small subunit ribosomal RNA", at positions 28 to 504 of the family's 1533-position model. The record is from RNAcentral. Lineage: Bacteria; Bacillati; Bacillota; Clostridia; Peptostreptococcales; Anaerovoracaceae.